This 254-nucleotide ribosomal RNA is filed under the name uncultured bacterium. RNAcentral's name for it is "partial 16S ribosomal RNA". It matches the Rfam family "Bacterial small subunit ribosomal RNA", at positions 524 to 776 of the family's 1533-position model. The record is from RNAcentral.
CACGUAGGGUGCGAGCGUUGUCCGGAAUUAUUGGGCGUAAAGAGCUCGUAGGCGGUGUGUCGCGUCGGCCGUGAAAACCUGCAGCUUAACUGUGGGCUUGCGGUCGAUACGGGCAUCACUGGAGUUCGGCAGGGGAGACUGGAAUUCCUGGUGUAGCGGUGAAAUGCGCAGAUAUCAGGAGGAACACCGGUGGCGAAGGCGGGUCUCUGGGCCGAUACUGACGCUGAGGAGGGAAAGCGUGGGGAGCGAACAGG